RNAcentral lists this transfer RNA (90 nucleotides) under Streptomyces inusitatus. RNAcentral describes it as "tRNA-Arg". Lineage: Bacteria; Bacillati; Actinomycetota; Actinomycetes; Kitasatosporales; Streptomycetaceae. The record is from RNAcentral.
CGGCGGCGGCCAGCAGGACGGCCCCGAGCCCUUCGAGGAUCCGGCCGGGCACCUGCACGGCCGCGUCGGGUUCGAGGCCCGGCCCGUGGG